This 253-nucleotide ribosomal RNA is filed under the name uncultured bacterium. Its description in RNAcentral is "partial 16S ribosomal RNA". It matches the Rfam family "Bacterial small subunit ribosomal RNA", at positions 524 to 776 of the family's 1533-position model. The record is from RNAcentral.
UACGGAGGUCCCAAGCGUUGUUCGGAUUCACUGGGCGUAAAGGGUGCGUAGGCGGUUGGGAAAGUUCGAUGUGAAAUCUCCGGGCUCAACCUGGAAAUUGCAUUGAAAACUAUUCGGCUAGAGGAUUGUAAGGGAGACUGGAAUUCUCGGUGUAGCAGUGAAAUGCGUAGAUAUCGAGAGGAACACCAGUGGCGAAGGCGAGUCUCUGGACAAUUACUGACGCUGAAGCGCGAAAGCGUGGGGAGCAAACAGG